Molecule: long non-coding RNA, 618 nt
Organism: Nylanderia fulva
Lineage: Eukaryota; Metazoa; Arthropoda; Insecta; Hymenoptera; Formicidae
Source: RefSeq, a predicted model, not a curated record
UUUAUCUUUUUAAAGUAGUGUUAAAAGAGUUUUAAGAUACAGUAAUGCGAAAAGAAUUCAAUAAUUUUAAUAAAUGUUAGAAUUUUCCAGAUUAGAUAAGGUUUAUGGUGCCCAGAUCACGAUAUUUGCUGUAUAAGUAGAGUCGCUGCAAAGAUGAACCAUCAGAAUUUUAAAAAAUUGGAAUUAGUUCUUCAUAAUUCUUGCAACGAUGAACACCCAAAUAUAUCUAUUUUUGUUGGUUGCCGUUUUUGCAAUUGUCUCGGUCUUUGAAGUCAUGGCCAAACCGUCAAUUGAUGCUGAUGAGCCUGAUACGCUAUCACGCUCUAAGAGGCAAUUAGAUUUAUUGGGCAAUCUGUCAGAAUUCUUACAAACUGUAUUGGAAAAUGUUUUAAAAGGGCUUUAAAAAGUCACUUAAAGGAAAUUAUGGGAUAAAAAGUUUAAUAAGUGAUUAUUAAUAUAUUCAGCUGAAUUCUUAUCCCAUGGCAAUAUUAUGUAUUAAAAUGUGAAAAAAUAUUUUUGGUGACGGGAUGUAAAAUGUAUAAUAUGUGAUUAUAUUACCUUAUUAUCACAUAUCAAAAUAUAUUUUGUGUGAAUAAAUAUCUAUAUCAUAAACAAGUA